UACACUCCUGCGGGAGGCAGCAGUGGGGAAUUUUGGACAAUGGGCGAAAGCCUGAUCCAGCAAUGCCGCGUGAGUGAAGAAGGCCUUCGGGUUGUAAAGCUCUUUUGUCAGGGAAGAAACGGUGAGAGCUAAUAUCUUUUGCUAAUGACGGUACCUGAAGAAUAAGCACCGGCUAACUACGUGCCAGCAGCCGCGGUAAUACGUAGGGUGCAAGCGUUAAUCGGAAUUACUGGGCGUAAAGCGUGCGCAGGCGGUUUUGUAAGUCUGAUGUGAAAUCCCCGGGCUCAACCUGGGAAUUGCAUUGGAGACUGCAAGGCUAGAAUCUGGCAGAGGGGGGUAGAAUUCCACGUGUAGCAGUGAAAUGCGUAGAUAUGUGGAGGAACACCGAUGGCGAAGGCAGCCCCCUGGGUCAAGAUUGACGCUCAUGCACGAAAGCGUGGGGAGCAAACAGGAUUAGAUACCCCAGUAGUCCCAU
Molecule: ribosomal RNA, 475 nt
Filed under: uncultured organism
Description: partial 16S ribosomal RNA
Rfam family: Bacterial small subunit ribosomal RNA
Source: RNAcentral